This 84-nucleotide transfer RNA is filed under the name Felis catus (domestic cat). It matches the Rfam family "tRNA". Rfam says of the family: Transfer RNA (tRNA) molecules are approximately 80 nucleotides in length. Their secondary structure includes four short double-helical elements and three loops (D, anti-codon, and T loops). Further hydrogen bonds mediate the characteristic L-shaped molecular structure. tRNAs have two regions of fundamental functional importance: the anti-codon, which is responsible for specific mRNA codon recognition, and the 3' end, to which the tRNAs corresponding amino acid is attached (by aminoacyl-tRNA synthetases). tRNAs cope with the degeneracy of the genetic code in two manners: having more than one tRNA (with a specific anti-codon) for a particular amino acid; and 'wobble' base-pairing, i.e. permitting non-standard base-pairing at the 3rd anti-codon position. The record is from Rfam by way of RNAcentral. Lineage: Eukaryota; Metazoa; Chordata; Mammalia; Carnivora; Felidae.
GCCUGGGUGGCUCAGUUGGUUGAGUGUCCGACUUCGGCUCGGUUGUGAUCUCACGGUUCGUGAGUUCGAACCCCAUAUCGGGCU